GCCUACCAAUAGGACACUACUUAACCUCUUGUAAUUGCAAUCAGCGUCAGAAAAACAUAAUAGUUACAACUUUCAACAACGGAUCUCUUGGUUCUGGCAUCGAUGAAGAACGCAGCGAAAUGCGAAAAGUAGUGUGAAUUGCAGAAUUCAGUGAAUCAUCGAAUCUUUGAACGCACAUUGCGCCCCUUGGUAUUCCAUGGGGCAUGCCUGUUCGAGCGUCAUUUGUAUCUUCAAGCUCUGCUUGGUGUUGGGUGUUUGUCCCGCUUUGUGCGUGGACUCGCCUUAAAGCAAUUGGCAGCCGGCGUACUAGUCUGGGAGCGCAGCACAAUUUGCGCCUCUGAACCUGAACGCUUGCGUCCAUG
Molecule: ribosomal RNA, 362 nt
Filed under: Pyrenochaeta sp. NY7858a
Lineage: Eukaryota; Fungi; Ascomycota; Dothideomycetes; Pleosporales; Cucurbitariaceae
Description: eukaryotic LSU rRNA
Rfam family: 5.8S ribosomal RNA (bases 68-221)
Source: RNAcentral